AAUCAACGCUGGCGGCGUGCCUCAGACAUGCAAGUCGAACGCGAAAGGUUCCUUCGGGGACCGAGUAGAGUGGCGCACGGGUGAGUAACACGUAGGGUAAUUUGCCUUUGGGUGGGGAAUAACUCAGGGAACUUGAGCUAAUACCGGCAUAAUGCAGCGGCUCGACAUCGAGACAGUUGUUAAAAGCGGGGGAUUCGCAAGAACCUCGCGCCUAAAGAGAAGCCUGCGGCA
RNAcentral lists this ribosomal RNA (231 nucleotides) under uncultured bacterium. Its description in RNAcentral is "partial 16S ribosomal RNA". It matches the Rfam family "Bacterial small subunit ribosomal RNA", at positions 32 to 238 of the family's 1533-position model. The record is from RNAcentral.